CUCUCUGUGACUCCUACGGGAGGCAGCAGUGGGGAAUAUUGCACAAUGGGGGAAACCCUGAUGCAGCCAUGCCGCGUGUGUGAAGAAGGCCUUCGGGUUGUAAAGUACUUUCAGCAGUGAGGAAGGUUCAUGCGUUAAUAGCGUAUGGAUUUGACGUUAGCUGCAGAAGAAGCACCGGCUAACUCCGUGCCAGCAGCCGCGGUAAUACGGAGGGUGCGAGCGUUAAUCGGAAUUACUGGGCGUAAAGCGCAUGCAGGCGGCCUGUUAAGUCAGAUGUGAAAGCCCGGGGCUUAACCUCGGAAUUGCAUUUGAAACUGGCAGGCUAGAGUCUUGUAGAGGGGGUAGAAUUUCAGGUGUAGCGGUGAAAUGCGUAGAGAUCUGAAGGAAUACCAGUGGCGAAGGCGGCCCCCUGGACAAAGACUGACGCUCAGAUGCGAAAGCGUGGGGAGCAAACAGGAUUAGAUACCCUGGUAG
RNAcentral lists this ribosomal RNA (474 nucleotides) under uncultured bacterium. RNAcentral's name for it is "bacterial SSU rRNA". It matches the Rfam family "Bacterial small subunit ribosomal RNA", at positions 326 to 793 of the family's 1533-position model. The record is from RNAcentral.